Molecule: long non-coding RNA, 799 nt
Filed under: Fukomys damarensis (Damara mole-rat)
Lineage: Eukaryota; Metazoa; Chordata; Mammalia; Rodentia; Bathyergidae
Description: lncRNA (ENSFDAG00000028302.1)
Source: RNAcentral
CUGGAGUUUGCCCUCCUGGUAAAAUCAUUCAGAACAUACUUAGUUUGGGAAAAUUUAGUUUAGAAAGAGAAAGGAACUCCAGGAUGAAGUGUAGCUUGUGGAUUGUUUACUGAUAUCUGUUAGCUGCACUAAUCUUGACCUAUUACCCCUGGGACUGAGGGGCAGGUUGCCUUACUUCACCUUAAUGAAGCUUAUCAUUGCAGGGCCCUAAAACAGCUAGGAAUAGCUCCAUACCAAGCCCUCUAGCCAAACAAUCAGCAAAUAAAAAUAACUUUAAAGAGUGUUAAGCCCAACUUUAUGACUUUCACAGGCACCCAGGACAUGGUCUCACAGGUCUAAGACACCACACAAGGUAGCUCAGGACUGCUUGUUAGUUGACCGGUGGGGACCAACUGUGACUCAUCUAUUUACUACAGAGCAAAGGUAACUUGGGAUGCAAAAGUUGACAGCUGUCUCCCGGGAGACCAUCAGUACUGGAAAUGAGGGCAUUGGGCUUCAACUGGAAAUGUUUCCCUUGGCACAGACCCAGGCUGGAAGAAUGGCGCCCGGUGAGAGGUCACGCCCGAGGAUAAACAUACAAUUCCAAAGGCCUGCCAGCCACAUCAAAGAGCUUCUCCCAAGAAGGCAUAAGCCAGGAGAGGAAGCUCCAGAGUGGGAGGAGAGUGAUAUUUUGAACCAAAAAACAAGAGUCAAAUGAGGCCAACAAUGCGCAAAGCUCGGGCACAGCAUAAAGUGUACUUCCCUUUGGUAAGCAUUUUGUUUCAUAAUAUUAAAUGUCCUAACUGGGCAAACAGAUUCU